AGCAGUCGCCGCGGUAAUACGGAGGGUGCAAGCGUUAAUCGGAAUUACUGGGCGUAAAGCGCACGCAGGCGGUCUGACAAGUCAGAUGUGAAAUCCCCGGGCUUAACCUGGGAACUGCAUUUGAAACUGUCAGGCUGGAGUCUUGUAGAGGGGGGUAGAAUUCCAGGUGUAGCGGUGAAAUGCGUAGAGAUCUGGAGGAAUACCGGUGGCGAAGGCGGCCCCCUGGACAAAGACUGACGCUCAGGUGCGAAAGCGUGGGGAGCAAACAGGAUUAGAUACCCGGGUAGUCCCUGUCUCUUAUAC
RNAcentral lists this ribosomal RNA (303 nucleotides) under uncultured bacterium. Its description in RNAcentral is "partial 16S ribosomal RNA". It matches the Rfam family "Bacterial small subunit ribosomal RNA", at positions 507 to 807 of the family's 1533-position model. The record is from RNAcentral.